This 76-nucleotide transfer RNA is filed under the name Acidobacteriota bacterium. RNAcentral describes it as "tRNA-Gly". It matches the Rfam family "tRNA". From Rfam's summary of the family: Transfer RNA (tRNA) molecules are approximately 80 nucleotides in length. Their secondary structure includes four short double-helical elements and three loops (D, anti-codon, and T loops). The record is from RNAcentral. Lineage: Bacteria; Pseudomonadati; Acidobacteriota.
GCGCGAGUAGCUCAGUUGGUAGAGCAUCAGCUUCCCAAGCUGAGGGUCGCCGGUUCGAACCCGGUUUCCCGCUCCA